This 72-nucleotide transfer RNA is filed under the name Ovis aries (sheep). It matches the Rfam family "tRNA". From Rfam's summary of the family: Transfer RNA (tRNA) molecules are approximately 80 nucleotides in length. Their secondary structure includes four short double-helical elements and three loops (D, anti-codon, and T loops). The record is from Rfam by way of RNAcentral. Lineage: Eukaryota; Metazoa; Chordata; Mammalia; Artiodactyla; Bovidae.
UCCCUGGUGACUCAGAUGGUAAAGAAUCUACCUGCAAUGCAGAAGACCCAGGUUCAAUCCCUGGGUUGGGAA